This 253-nucleotide ribosomal RNA is filed under the name uncultured bacterium. RNAcentral's name for it is "partial 16S ribosomal RNA". It matches the Rfam family "Bacterial small subunit ribosomal RNA", at positions 524 to 776 of the family's 1533-position model. The record is from RNAcentral.
UACGGAGGGUGCAAGCGUUGUUCGGAAUCACUGGGCGUAAAGCGUGUGUAGGCGGUCUGCUAAGUCGGGUGUGAAAGCCCUGGGCUCAACCCAGGAAGUGCACUCGAAACUGGCAGGCUAGAGUACUGGAGAGGUUGGUGGAAUUCUCGGUGUAGAGGUGAAAUUCGUAGAUAUCGAGAGGAACACCGGUGGCGAAGGCGGCCAACUGGACAGAUACUGACGCUGAGACACGAAAGCGUGGGGAGCAAACAGG